UUAGCUCUCUUUGCCUUUUGGCUUAGAUCAAGUGUAGUAUCUGUUCUUUUCAGUUUAAUC
Molecule: small nuclear RNA, 60 nt
Organism: Trichoderma harzianum
Lineage: Eukaryota; Fungi; Ascomycota; Sordariomycetes; Hypocreales; Hypocreaceae
Rfam family: U2 spliceosomal RNA
About the family: U2 is a small nuclear RNA (snRNA) component of the spliceosome (involved in pre-mRNA splicing). Complementary binding between U2 snRNA (in an area lying towards the 5' end but 3' to hairpin I) and the branchpoint sequence (BPS) of the intron results the bulging out of an unpaired adenosine, on the BPS, which initiates a nucleophilic attack at the intronic 5' splice site, thus starting the first of two transesterification reactions that mediate splicing.
Source: Rfam